CGCCCUGACUUAGCUUUUAUCACCGGGGUACUCGGUAGAUAUCAAGAGAAUCCAGGCCUAGAGCACUGGAAGAUGGUAAAGAAAGCAUUGCAUUAUGCGCAAGGCACGAAGGACUACAUGCUAAUAUACAGGAGAAGUGAUUCCCUAGAGAUAAAAGGGUAUUCAGAUGCAGAUUUUGCGGGGGACAGAGAUGAUAGAAAAUCCACGUCAGGAUACGUCUUCACUCUCGCUGGGGGAGCUAUUUCGUGGAAAAGCUCCAAGCAGUCGAUAGUUGCAUCAUCCACGAUGUAUGCAGAAUUUAUAGCAUGCUUCGAAGCCACGGGGCAGGCGAUAUGGCUAAAGAAAUUUGUACCCGACUUGAAAGUGGUAGAUUGCAUUCACAAACCACUAAAGAUGUACUGUGAUAACCAGCCCGCAGUA
This 420-nucleotide ribosomal RNA is filed under the name Triticum aestivum (bread wheat). RNAcentral describes it as "partial small subunit ribosomal RNA". The record is from RNAcentral. Lineage: Eukaryota; Viridiplantae; Streptophyta; Magnoliopsida; Poales; Poaceae.